AGUACUCUGUGUCCUGUGCUCCUACAGGCCCAGCCUCUGUGGCCCUGUGACCUGCAGGUAUUGGGAGAUCCACAGCUAAGACACCAGGACCCCGGGAAGCCUAGAAAUGGCCACAAAAACUUGGAAAAACACAGGCUCUUCCACUUACUGGAUGUUUGACAAAAUAUCCUUCUCGGGCCAAAAACAUUGACAUUUUUGGGACCAUUGCAAUUUAGAGAUGUGGCCAUAGAAUUCUCUCUGGAGGAGUGGCAUUGCCUGGACACUGCACAGCGGAAUCUAUAUAGGAAUGUGAUGUUAGAGAACUACAGUAACCUGGUCUUCCUUGGUAUUGUUGUCUCUAAGCCAGACCUGAUCGCCCAUCUGGAGCAAGGAAAAAAACCUUUGACUAUGAAGAGACAUGAGAUGGUAGCCAACCCCUCAGGGCCAGGUGUGGUUGUGGUGCUCAUGUGUAAUCCCAGGAUUUUGGGAGGUGAAGCCAAGAGGAUCCCUGGAGCCCAAAAGUUUGAGAACAGCCUGGGCAACAUAUGGAGACCCCUCUCUAUGAAAAAAAUUUAAUAAUAGCCAGGCAUGGUGGUGUGCAGCU
RNAcentral lists this small RNA (583 nucleotides) under Pan troglodytes (chimpanzee). RNAcentral's name for it is "processed transcript". Lineage: Eukaryota; Metazoa; Chordata; Mammalia; Primates; Hominidae. The record is from RNAcentral.